This 293-nucleotide unclassified non-coding RNA is filed under the name Melitaea cinxia (Glanville fritillary). Its description in RNAcentral is "misc RNA ENSMCXG00005021052.1". The record is from RNAcentral. Lineage: Eukaryota; Metazoa; Arthropoda; Insecta; Lepidoptera; Nymphalidae.
GGGGGUUGGAAGUUUGUAUGAGAGUCCCAUGUUUUUGACGUAAGAGACUUGAAAUUUAAAAUGUAAGCUCUAUAGAUAGAUGGUGAAAAGGUGUCCAAAUAAUGUAUCUUUAGAAAUCAACCCCUUUUUGGGUUAAAACGGGGGAUAGUAGGUUGGCUCACUGAUCACGAAAUCUCCGAAACUAUAACAGUUACAAACUUGGAAUUUGGCAGAAAGGCUCCUUAUAGGGCUUAAACAUUCGCUAAGAACGGGUUUUACAAAACUCGACCCCUAAGGGGCUAAAACGGGGGUUG